UUUUUUAAAGACGAACAUUUUUCUGAAUCUUGAGAAUAAAAUUUUGACACAGAGAAUAAUUUUGAAAAACCCCAAACAAAUUUGGAAGCGCGAACAAUUUUUUUAAGCACGAACAUUUUUCUGAAUCUUGAGAAUAAAAUUUUGACACAGAGAAUAAUUUUGAAAAACCCCAAACAAAUUUGGAAGCGCGAACAAUUUUGAACAUUUUUAAAAUGGAAAACAAAUUUGAAAGCAUGAACAAAUUUUUGAAGCAUCAACACUUUUGGAAUCUUGAGAACAAAUUUUAAAAACGAGAACAAUUAUGAAAGAUCUGAAACAAAUCUGGAAGCACGAACAAUUAUUUAAACCCUUUGAAAUCAUGAACAAAUUUUAAAAUCAAAAAUAAUUUUCUAACAUUUUUGAAAAUGCCAAACAUUUUUUGAGAAAUCCAG
This 431-nucleotide long non-coding RNA is filed under the name Hordeum vulgare. RNAcentral's name for it is "long non-coding RNA (HVUL_LNC008488)". Lineage: Eukaryota; Viridiplantae; Streptophyta; Magnoliopsida; Poales; Poaceae. The record is from RNAcentral.